RNAcentral lists this non-coding RNA (213 nucleotides) under Lutispora thermophila. RNAcentral's name for it is "T-box sequence". It matches the Rfam family "T-box leader". Rfam says of the family: Uncharged tRNA acts as the effector for transcription antitermination of genes in the T-box leader family. T-boxes are found upstream of many aminoacyl-tRNA synthetase genes and some amino acid biosynthetic genes usually in Gram-positive bacteria. The record is from RNAcentral. Lineage: Bacteria; Bacillati; Bacillota; Clostridia; Lutisporales; Lutisporaceae.
UUAAAAGCUAUGAAGAAGAGGAGUAGGCGAAAAUCACCUUACAGAGAAGAAUACCCUAGGCUGAAAGGUAUUCCAGGCAAGAUUUAGCUGAAGGUAGCUUUGGAGCUCUUGUGUCGAAUUGAGUAGAUACAAGCGGGUCUGCCCGUUAUAGUGUAAAGAGCCGGUGUUGGCCGGAAUUAAGGUGGUACCGCGAACUAACCCUUCGUCCUUUUA